Ribosomal RNA from Camellia sinensis, 3423 nucleotides. NCBI's taxonomy places the organism in Eukaryota, Viridiplantae, Streptophyta, Magnoliopsida, Ericales, Theaceae. The record is from RefSeq and is a predicted model, not a curated record.
CAACCCCAGGUCUGGCGGGAUUACCCGCUGAGUUUAAGCAUAUCAAUAAGCAGAGGAAAAUGAACUUUCAAGGAUUCCCCUAGUAACGGCUAACGAACCGGGAAGAGCCUAGCUUGAAAAUCGAGCAACCCUAUUGUUCGAAUUGUAGUAUGGAGAAGCGUCCUCAACAACAGACUCGGCCCAAGUCCCCUAGAAAGGGGCGCUAGAGAGAGUGCGAGCCCCAUCGUGCCCGGACCCUAUCACACCACGAGGUGCUAUCUGCUAGUCGGGUUAUUUGGGAAUACAGCCCUAAUCGGCUAGUAAAUUCCUUUUAAGGAUAAAUAUGGCGAGAGACCGAUAGCAAACAAGUAUCACGAGAGAAAGAUGAAAAGGAUUUUGAAAAGAGAGCCAAAGAGUGCUUGAAAUUGUCAGAAGGGAAGCGGAUAGGGGCUGGUGAUGUGCCCCAAUCGAAUGUAGAACGAUAACUAGCUGGUCGUCGAUCAACUUGGGGCGUAGACCGAUGCGGACUGGUCCGCCGAUCGACUUGAGGCAUAGACUGGUGCGAAUUAAGGCAGAGGCCAAAGCCUUGGCAGUCGAAAAGCUCGCGGAGAUGCCUUCGCCUUGAUCAUGGCUGGCAGUGCACGCCCUUAGGAUUGCUUCGGCAUCUACGCGCUCACGACACUAGCCUGCGAACUCCUCAUUCAGCCAGUCUUGAAUCAUGGACCAAGGAGUCCGACAUGUAUGCGAGUCAACGGGUAAGUAAACUCGUAAGGUGCAAAGAAGCUGAUUAACGUGAUCCUCUUGUGGGUUGCACUGUCAACCGACCUUGAUCUUUUGAGAAGUGUUCGAGUGUGAGCAUGUCUGUUAACACUCGAAAGAUGGUGAACUAUGCCUGAGUGGGGCGAAGCCAGAGGAAACUCUAGUGGAGACCCGUAGCGAUACUGACGUGCAAAUCAUUCGUCUGACUUGGGUAUGGCGGUGAAAGACUAAUUGAACCGUCUAGUAGUUGGUUUGCUCCGUAGUUUCCCUCAGGAUAGCUAGAGCCCGGGUGCAAGUUCUAUCAGGUAAAGCCAAUUGUUAAAGGCAUCGGAAGCGCAACACCCUCAACCUAUUCUCAAACUUUAAAUUGGUAGAACAACGUGACUGCUCUGUUGAGUUGCGCCAUAGAAACGAGAGGUCCAAGUGGGCCUUUUUUGGUAAGCAGAACUGGUGAUGCAAGAUGAACCAGAAGCCAGGUUACGAUGCCCAACUGCGUGCUAACCUAGAACCCAUAAAGGGUGUUGGUCGAUUAAGACAGCAUGACAGUGGUCUUGGAAGACGAAAUCCACUAAAGAAUGCAUAACAACUCACUUGCCGAAUCAACUAGCCCCGAAAAUGGAUGGCGCUUAAGUGCGCGACCUAUACCCGGCCGUCGGGGCAAGUGCCAGGCCCCGAUGAGUAGGAGGGCGCAGUAGUCGCUGCAAAACCUUAGGCGCGAGCGACCGUUGGUAAGGAUCUUGGUGGUAGUAGCAAAUAUUCAAAAGAGAACUUUAAAGGGCAAAGAGGGGAAAGAUUCCAUGUGAACAGCACUUGCACAUGGGUUAGUCAUUCCUAAGAGUCGGGGGAAACCCGACAAAGAGCGCGUUCAGUGUGAGCUUCGAAAGGGAAUCAGGCUAAAAUUCCUGAACCGGAACAUGGCGGCUGAAGGCAACGUUAGAGAGUCUGAAGACGUCAGCGGGGGCCUCGGGAAGAGUUAUCUUUUCUAUUUAACAGCUUGCCCAGCCUAGAAACAGCUCAGCCAGAGGUAGGGCCCAGCGGUUGGAAGAGCACCGCAUGUCAUGUGGUGUUCAGUGCACCCUUGGCGGCCCUUAAAAAUCUAAAACACUGUGUGCCUCCCACGCCCGGUCAUACUCAUAACCACAUCAGGUUUCCAAGGUGAACAUCCUCUGGUCGAUGGAACAAUAUAGGUAAGGGAAGUUGGGAAAAUGGAUCUGUAACUUCGGGAAAAGUAUUAGCUUUGAGGACUAGGCACGGGGGUUUUAGUCCUGAACCUGUCGACUCUCGGUGGACUGCUCGAGGUGCUCCCAUGCCGAGAGUGGGUCAUUGUGUGCCGGUUGGGGGAUAGACUAGGAACGUUGCCUUGCAGGGCCUGCCCUGGGCAGUGAGCAAUCGACUCAUAACUGUUACAGACAACGGGAAUCUGAUUAUUCAAUUAAAACAAAGCAUUGCGAUGGUCCCUAUGGAUGCUCACGCAAUAUGAUUUCUGCCCAGUGCUCUGAAUGUCAAGGUGAAUAAAUUCAACCAAGAACGGGUAAAUGGAGAAAGUAACUAUGACUCUUUUAAGGUUGCCUAAUGCCUUGUCAUCUAAUUAGUGACGUGCAUGAAUGGAUUAACGAGAUUCCCACUGUCCUUGUCCACUAUCUAGCAAAACCACAACCAAGGGAACGGGCUUGGCAGAAUCAGUGGGGAAAGAAGACCCUGUUGAGCUUGACUCUAGUUUGACUUUGUGAAAUGACAUGAGAGGUGUAUGAUAAGUGGGAGCCGAAAAGGGAAAAAGUGAAGUACCACUACUUUUAACAUUAUUUUACUUAUUCAGUGAAUCGGAGGUAGGGCGCUGCCCCUCUUUUUGGACCCAAGGCCCGCCUCAGCGGGCCGAUCCAAGGGAAAGACAUUGUCAGGUGGGGAGUUUGGCUGGGGUGGCACAUCUGUUAAAAGAUAACGUAGGUGUCCUAAUAUGAGCUCAACGAGAACAAAAAUCUCGCGUGGAACAGAAGGCUAAAAGUUUGUUUGAUUUUGAUUUCCAGUAUGAAUAUGAACCGUGAAAGUGUGACCUAACGAUCCUUCAGACCUUCAGAAUUUGAAGCUAGAGGUGUCAGAAAAGUUACCACAGGGAUAACUGGCUUAUGGCAGCCAAGUGUUCAUAGCGACGUUGGUUUUUUAUCCUUCGAUGUCGGCUCUUCCUAUCAUUAUGAAGUAGAAUUCACCAAGUGUUGGAUUGUUCACCCACUAAUAGAGAACGUGAGCUGGGUUUAGACCAUCGUGAGAUAGUUUAGUUUUACCAUACUAAUGACAGUGUCGCAAUAGUAAUUCAACUUAGUACGAGAGAAACCAUUGAUUGCACAAUUGAUCAUCGCGCUUGGUUAAAAAGCCAGUGGCGCGAAGCUACCAUGCGCUGGAUUAUGACUAAAUGCCUCUAAGUCAGAAUUUGGGCUAGAAGCGAUGCAUGCGCCUGUCGCCUACUUGCUGAUCUGCAGUUGGGACCGUUCGGCCCCCAAAGGGACGCGUUAUUGGUGAAGCCCGCGCAACGGAUGAGCCGCGCGGGCUGCCUUGAAGUACAAUUCCUAUCUUGAGCGGUGGGUAGAAUCCUUUGCAGAUGACUUAAAUACACGAUGGGGUAUUGUGUGUGGCAGAGUGGCCUUGCUUCCACAAUCCACUAAGAUACAGCCCUGCGUCGCUCCGAUUCGU